RNAcentral lists this ribosomal RNA (438 nucleotides) under uncultured bacterium. RNAcentral's name for it is "bacterial SSU rRNA". It matches the Rfam family "Bacterial small subunit ribosomal RNA", at positions 28 to 507 of the family's 1533-position model. The record is from RNAcentral.
GACGAACGCUGGCGGCGUGCCUAAUACAUGCAAGUCGCACGGGCAGUAGCAAUACUGUCAGUGGCGACGGGUGAGUAACGCGUAGGAAUCUAUCCUUGAAUGGGGGACAACCGUGGGAAACUACGGCUAAUACCGCAUGAUGCCUGAGGGCCAAAGACGAAAGUCGUUUGAGGAGGAGCCUGCGUCUGAUUAGGUAGUUGGUGGGGUAAAGGCCUACCAAGCCUGCGAUCAGUAGCUGGUCUGAGAGGAUGAUCAGCCACACUGGGACUGAGACACGGCCCAGACUCCUACGGGAGGCAGCAGUGGGGAAUAUUGGACAAUGGGCGCAAGCCUGAUCCAGCAAUGCCGCGUGGGUGAAGAAGGUCUUCGGAUUGUAAAGCCCUUUUGGCAGGGACGAUGAUGACGGUACCUGCAGAAUAAGCUCCGGCUAACUUCGUG